Molecule: long non-coding RNA, 354 nt
Organism: Perca flavescens (yellow perch)
Lineage: Eukaryota; Metazoa; Chordata; Actinopteri; Perciformes; Percidae
Exons: 3
Source: RefSeq, a predicted model, not a curated record
CCGGCAUCUUACGCCAGAGAGUCUUCGUAAAGUGAAAGAGAUUAAACACUUAGAAAUGUUUGUGUUUACUGAACAGCUCCAGGGUGGAGUCCUAAAGCGAGGGGAUGACCCACUGCAGUGACAGUGAUGAGCAGAGUGAUGAUGGAGAAGAAAAACAAAACAAGAACCAGAAGAAGAAAGGAGGAAAGCAUGUGUCUUUCCCCCCUGAUGAACAGAUUAUAUCAGGCUUUGCUGAGCACAGGGACGAUGGCAGAAAGGUUGACAGCUGCCUCACCUUGACAGAGGUAAUGGUGGCGUACCAGCAGAGCUGCAGCAGACACCAGGUCCAACCCAGGGAGCACAUCCUGCAGCAGC